AGCGAACGCUGGCGGCAGGCCUAACACAUGCAAGUCGAACGGAUCCUUCGGGAUUAGUGGCGGACGGGUGAGUAACACGUGGGAACGUGCCCUUUGGUUCGGAACAACUCAGGGAAACUUGAGCUAAUACCGGAUGUGCCCUUCGGGGGAAAGAUUUAUCGCCAUUGGAGCGGCCCGCGUCUGAUUAGCUAGUUGGUGAGGUAACGGCCCACCAAGGCGACGAUCAGUAGCUGGUCUGAGAGGAUGAUCAGCCACACUGGGACUGAGACACGGCCCAGACCCCUACGGGAGGCAGCAGUGGGGAAUCUUGCGCAAUGGGCGAAAGCCUGACGCAGCCAUGCCGCGUGAAUGAUGAAGGUCUUAGGAUUGUAAAAUUCUUUCAGCGGGGACGAUAAUGACGGUACCCGCAGAAGAAGCUCCGGCUAACUUCGUG
RNAcentral lists this ribosomal RNA (433 nucleotides) under uncultured bacterium. Its description in RNAcentral is "partial 16S ribosomal RNA". It matches the Rfam family "Bacterial small subunit ribosomal RNA", at positions 29 to 507 of the family's 1533-position model. The record is from RNAcentral.